GUCCACGCUGUAAACGAUGGGCACUAGGUGUCUGGGGUAUUGACCCCCUGGGUGCCGCAGCUAACGCAUUAAGUGCCCCGCCUGGGAAGUACGGCCGCAAGGUUAAAACUCAAAGGAAUUGACGGGGGCCCGCACAAGCGGUGGAGCAUGUGGUUCAAUUCGACGCAACGCGAAGAACCUUACCUGGGCUAGACAACGGCGGACAGCCCCAGAGAUGGGGCCUUCCCUUCGGGGACCGCCGGUUCAGGUGCUGCAUGGCUGUCGU
This 265-nucleotide ribosomal RNA is filed under the name uncultured bacterium. RNAcentral's name for it is "partial 16S ribosomal RNA". It matches the Rfam family "Bacterial small subunit ribosomal RNA", at positions 793 to 1055 of the family's 1533-position model. The record is from RNAcentral.